CCGGCGACCGGCGCACGGGUGAGUAACACGUAUGCAACCUGCCCUCUUCAGGGGGACAACCUUCCGAAAGGGAGGCUAAUCCCGCGUAUAUCGGUUUCGGGCAUCCGAGAUCGAGGGAAGAUUCAUCGGAAGAGGAUGGGCAUGCGGCGCAUUAGCUAGACGGCGGGGUAACGGCCCACCGUGGCGACGAUGCGUAGGGGUUCUGGGAGGAAGGUCCCCCACACUGGUACUGAGGCACGGACCAGACUCCUACGGGAGGCAGCAG
Molecule: ribosomal RNA, 265 nt
Filed under: uncultured bacterium
Lineage: Bacteria
Description: partial 16S ribosomal RNA
Rfam family: Bacterial small subunit ribosomal RNA
Source: RNAcentral